UUAAGAAGUUCAAAUAACUGACCAAAUCACACACACCAUAUAUGGGCAGGUCUAUAAUCAGAAAACACAACUUUUGAUGUGCAGCCAAUUUAGAUGAGUUUGUAAAAUGAGGAUAAAGCUCAUUUCCCACACUUUUAGAAGAGAAUUGGAGCUAAGUAGCUAGUAUGAUAAGUAAAUAAUAUCCCCUUUAACUGUCACUGGGAUUACAAUUUCCUUUAGGAAAGAUGAAAUCACUUAUGAAUUAAAUAAAAAGCAUUUUUAAAAACUCACCUGUACAAAAAAGGAAAAAUUCUUUUCAAAUUCAGCAUCUUCUAUCAACAUAGGCCUUCCAUGAAAAUAUAGUCCAGAAUACCCAGAUAAUAAAUUUGCCAAAUACAGAGUCAUUUAGGAAGUAAGCUAAGUAAAUUCAGCUUAUAUUAUAGGUAAACUAAUUUCUAUUGUUUGAAAUAUAAAGAAAUGCUACUGAUAAUAGAAGCAUUGAUAGUAAUUGUUUCAUAGACAUUAUGGCCCUAUUUUCUUUAAUGGCCUGUUAUGAACAUAGUGAGAGAAAAACUGGACACAAGGGAUGGUUAUAGCCUUGGCAGAAGUUGGAUAGAUGCUCAUCAAAUCUAUUUCUUCUUCCUAUGCACAGAAAUAAACUACAUUAUUCAGUCUUUUGGCAUCUAGGCAAAGCCAGUUUGACAAUUUUGUGCCCAAAAAAUGUUUUGGAAGUAAUACAUCACUUUGGACCAAUGCAAUAGUGACAAGUAGAUUCUAAAAUGUUCCCCAUUGAUCCUUGCCUCCUGGUUUUCACAUACUUAUGUGAAAUCCCUUCCCCUUAAAUAUGGGCUGGCUGGUGAGUUUUUUCCUUCCAGUUGAAUAUGGCAAUGGUCAUAGGAUGUCAUUUCCACAAUUGACUAUAUAAGCUUGUGACUUCCAUAUGCUACGUGUCUCUCUCUUCUUCCCUCCUUCCCUCUUCUCCCCUCUCUGGUCCUCUCUCUGUCUUUUCCCCUUCUCUCUUCUACUCCUCAUCUCCUCUCCCUUCCCUCUCUCUGUUUUUCUCUCUUGCUGAUGAAGCAAACUGCCCUGUUGAAAGAGGCUCACACAGCAAGGAACUAAUACCCUGAGUCCAACAGCCCUCAAGGAACUGAAUCCUGCCAACAGUCAUAUAAGUGAGUUUGAAUAAGGAUUCUUUCCCAUUUGAGCCUUCAGAUAAAACUCCAGUUCUGCCUGACACCUUGAUUGCAGCCUCAGACAGAUCUCGAAACAAUGUACCCAGCUAGGCCAUGUCUAGAUACCUGACCAGAAACUGUGAAAUAAUGUGUGUGCCUCUUUGUCCUGCUAAGUUUUGGCAUAAUUCAUUAUGCAGCAAUAGGUAAAUAAAAAGGCAGUUAAGAAUAGGCAUGCCUUAUUAUGUUUCUUCUUCCUUCAGCCAUCUGCUGACUAGAGGACACCAUGACACCAGAGCAACACUGAGACCAUGGCUUAAAGAUGAUGGAGCCUCAGCAUGAAAGAAAAUUAAAUCCCUGAAAGGCUAAGUAUGUCAAAGCUCUUCUCCCUUGACAAUAAGAGACAAUUAAGCUGUUAUCUGGUUAAACCAUUAAGAUUAAGGAAUAUUUGUUAUAGCAGGUAGCUUAGCCUGCCCUAAGAAACUUGUGUCAAAUGGAAGCUUAUGCUUCUGGCCAUAUGUUUACCAAAUAUUUUCUAGAUGUAAUUAAAGAUGUAUUACCUCUUAUUAAUACUAAUUUUUACUCUUCAAAAAUUGCAAAGCCAUUCCCUGAAGACCUUAUAUAUUUUUGUCUUUUUUCCUUUGUUCCUACUACCCCCUCUCCCUGGAAUUACUUCCUUGCCAACUUCUCUGCUUAGAGAGCUCUCACUAAUCCUCAGUGACUACCUUUAAUAUCUACUUUGGUGCAUCUUCAUUAGCUCUAGGCGAAAUCACGUCUUGUUAGAGUUAAACCUCCAUGAGUCUAUUAAAAAUGGCUUUAACAGCUUUCUGAUUAGUGAAACUUUUUAAUGAGGAAAAUUGGUAGUAUCUAUUGGCAUUUAAAAUGUACAUAUUGCUUAAUCUAAAUUUCCAUUGAUAGAAAUUUAAGGAUACAGACCUUUAUUUUAUAUACAUUCCAGCAAAGUUUAGGAUUGGAGAAAAAUAGAGACAACCUAAAUAGUAAUUAAUAGGGAACUUGUUAAUAGCCUACGGUAGGUCUAUGUGAUUUAUAUGUGCAGGUAUGUUUUCAUAUUUGACCAAAAUCAAUUUCCAAGAUAAAUUAUUUAGUAAAAAAUAAAUGAUAGAAUGUUCAUACACACAUACACAUAAAGUUUUUCUGUUUUGUAUGAAAAAUACGUAAAUACAUAUAUACUUGUAUAUACCUGGAAAUUAUGAAUGGAUACACAAGUAGUCACAUCUUUGAAAGGGGAAAGGAAGCAAAGCUAAAGGCAAAUUUUUAUGAGCAUUUAUUGCUUUUGUUUUAAAAGCUUUUAAAAUAUUUUAUGCAGCAAAAUAAAUGGACUUCAGUUGGGGAAUGGUUGGAUUAAUUUUGACUGCUGUAUUGUGGAGUAUUAUGAAAUCACUAAAAAGAAUAACUUAGAGCUUUGUAGUAGGACGAGUAAUCGCCACCCACAGAUAUCAGGCUCUAAUACCAAAGGCCUAUAAUAUUACCUUCUAUGAAAGGGAAAAGGAAGCAAAGUUGAAGGUAAAUUUUUAUGAGCAUUUAUGAAGUUAUAGAAAAGAAUCUGGAAAUGAAUAGAUAUAUAUUUAUAUGUAUUACUGAAUCACUUUGCUGUACACCUCAAAUUAGCACAUUGUAAACACACUUCAAUUUAAAAAAUGGUUUUAAAAAAGCAUUUGUGACAGUUGUCUCUUCAAAGAUAAUUGCAGCAAGGUCUCCCAUUGAUACACUGUUCUUGGGGUGAUGUUGACAUUCCUCCAUCACUGGGUGGGGUCUUCAUUCUCUCUUUCUGAAUCUGGGAGGUCCUAAGACUACAGUGGAAAUAAUGCUUAAUGACCCCCAAAGAGAGGUCAUUAAAAAGCUGUACGCUCUCCUAUCUCUGUCUCUUAGGGUACGCACCUUGGGAGUCCGGAGUUAAUGUGUAAGGAGCCACCAUGCUGAGAAAUCAUAUAGAGAAACCAUGUAAAAAUGGAAAGAGAUGGCCAUGGAGCUCCCAAAGUUCCAGUUCCCGUGAUGAGCAGGUGAAACAGCUCUCUGAGAAAGGAAAAGCCCUGAUGUAUAUAUAGCAUUUGCAAUUGCCAUGGUAUAAAUAGGCCCACCACGGUCUAUCUUAAGCUACCAGAAAUUUAGAAUUCUGCUCGAAGAAUUUGUGAACAUUUAACAAUUGGCCUUUGCAUGCUACCCUCCCGCUUCCAGCUGUUGGUAUUCCCAACCCCAGUGCCAGACGUAAGUGAGGAUGUGAAAUGACCUUUGUCCCGACCGUGGUCAGACGGUAACUUCAUGAGAGAUUCCACACUAGAAUGACCCCUCUGAGCCACUCCCAAAUUCCUACCCACAGCCAAUGUGAGAGAUAAUGAUUACACGUGUUUAAGCCAAUGCGUUUCAGGAUAAUUGAUAGCAGCCAUAGUUACUGAAACAAUCUUCCAGGUAAAAAUAACUAUAGUCAUUAUCUAUCUAUCUACAUCUAUAUGUCUAUAUACAUGUAUAUGUGUGCCUCUUUCCCCCUUCACCUCUUUGGAAUUCUGGAGGUAUUUAUGGCUUCGCCUCCCUCCUCAAUCUGUGGGAUGAUUGGGGAAGGGUUGUUCUGGGAAAGAGGAGCACUCCCUGCUCAGCGUCUCUUGCCCAUCUCCCACGCCUGCAGCCUGUCCUCACAGCCCCUCUCCCCUGUGUGGCCCUGCCCUAAUUUCAUUAUAGAUUUUGUGAAAUGUUAAAAUACACACACACACACACACACACACACACACACACACACACAUAUGUGCAAUGCCAUAGAGCAAGGAACCUGGGAGCCUUGCAAAUUAUUCCCAUGUGAAACAGUUUAGACCAGGAAUAUUCCUCAAAGGGAAUCUUUGUCCUAAUUAAGAGAAAUCCACCAGCCCACCUCCCUGGGGUCUAGAAUGGGCAUUUUAUUCCAUUAUACAUCCUUAUCUAGUUCUCCAUUUUUCAAGAGGCUGUCACCAGUUAGCCUGAUUGUGAAAACACCUCCCUCAACUGCAUAUCUAAAAUUUGUGUGCUGUGUUCCCAGGAUGUUUUUAGUAGAUUCUGACAUUCUUGUCCAGCAAAACCCAGGGUCACUGUCUCUAGGGAACUGCUGUUAGUAACUUCUGGCUCCUUUUUCCAUGGAGGUUUACCUGGGCACUCUCAAUUCUUAUGGUCUAAUCAUAUUUCUCAUAGUUGCCAUAAGGGCAAAAAGCAAUUUGGUGAUCACUCCUAGGCCCUCCAAACCUCCAGGAAAUGUCUAUCUCAGCAUCACUAAACACACACAGAUUUUUCUGUGCAAUUACCCAUUAUUGUGUGGUCAUUAGCAGCACAGAAUCUGGAGCCAACAUAUCUGAGUUGGAUUCCUGGCUCUUCCAUUCACUGACUAUAACGAUGCAAUUUAUUAAUCUCUUUGUGUCUUCGUUUCCCCAUCCAUAAAGGAGAAAUUAAAAAUAGCAUCUACAUAUAGAAUAGUUUGUUUGAAUUUAAUUAUGUAUGCCAAGCCAGUGUCUGCCAAAAUUGGGGCUCAAUAAAUAAUUAGUCAUCAGUUUUCAGAACACUUACAAAACUGUGAAAUGUUCCAAGCAACUGUUAGAUGAUGCCCGGACAGGGGCAGGGGCAGGAGGCGGGGGGAGAAGCAAACAUUUCAAUCUCUUCAAUCAAAGACCUACUACUUUGUGCCUUCAGCCCUAACAAAACUGUGAGAACAGUAUGUCAAGGUUACAUAUCCAGAAAUCUAUGCCCACCUCCCCUACCCUCAAGGCCUGCCCCAGGGUUAUAAAGCUUUCCCACCAUCUGCCACUUCCUCAGAUUAUGACUUUGUAAGGUGCCAGCCAGACGGCAAAUUUGAAGUCUGGGAGGCACAAGCCGUGAAAUCAUUCACACUAAUUAACCCUUUAGCUCCAAUUAACUGAGAGGAUUGGCUCUCUCCUCAUCGUCAUGUCUGUCCGUUUUACAAGCCAUGUUAUACAUCCAGUACAUGCUUGGCUCUGGGAUACAAAUGUCAACUAGAGAUGAGAGCAUUGUUUCUGCUAUUGCAGAAUACAUAGAUUGGGUUGCAGUAUAAGGAAAUCACAGAGGGUUCAAACACAGAGUACCAUCUACAGGCCACCAGAUAAAAAUAACCCAUCAAGUUCUGGAUUCCUAAAAUAUGACCAAAACAAAGCAAAAUAUUCAUUAUAUUACGCUCUUUCCAUAAAUCUGAGAAGAGCCAGGAAUCCAAGAAAGAGGAAGCCUGAAAGUAUGAAUUCAUACCACCAAGGGAGACCUUUUGAUAGAUAAUGGACUGAAAAAACAGAGAGGUCAAACAUCCUUUACAUAGGCAGAGAAACUUCCUGAUUUGCAUUUGGGCCCAUAAUCUAAUGAAAAGACCUCUAAAAAUGCAUAUAGUAACAACUAACACCUGCAUGCCACCACAAACUCGGCACUGAAAACCUCCUAUGAAGUAUUCGGUAUUCCCACUUUCACUGAAAAGGUAACUGAGUCUCAGAGAAAUUAAACUAAUAGCUCAAGGUCACACAGCUGAAACACUGCUGAAUAGAAACCUUGAACCUAGUUUCUCUAUUUCCAAUCCCAUGUUCUUUUCUCUCUUCCAGCUUCUUCACUCCCUACAGUAAGAUGAAAGGCAAUGAUUUUAUGUUCUUUCCAAGUGCAUCUAUAAAUUACAUGACUAUGUAAAAAUUAGUUCUUGAUUCUGUUAAAGCAAUACCCUUUCAUCAAGAUGGCAACCCAAAUACAUUUGCUGCAAAUCAUUUUUCUCUCCCAGAGCCAAAUAUUCUUUUAGAGAAAGGCUACACUGCUAGCAUCCAUCUAAUCAAGGAAUAAAAGAUGCAUGAACUGUUAUCCCACACACACACCCAUCCCCGCUUUCACUUCCUUCUUCCAUUCACCAGGCAAAGCCAAUUUGGUCUACAUCUGAUGCCUCGUUCACAUUUCUUUGGAAGGCGUCAACGAUGACGUUAGUACCAACUGUUUUGAGCAGCUGCAGAAAAUCAUUAACCCAAAUUGCUCAUUACACCUUUAUAGACACAGAGCAAGUCAGCCUGCUAAACACAUAUAUAAAUAUAAUGGGUAAUAAUGGUGAUGGGACGUGAUAAAAAUAAGUGAGGCUGAAGGGGUGGAAAAUAGCUGCAGAAGGAAAUUCUCCCUAUUGCACAUUCCUAGUCCGUAAAGGGCACAAAGCU
RNAcentral lists this long non-coding RNA (6310 nucleotides) under Sus scrofa (pig). Its description in RNAcentral is "lncRNA (ENSSSCG00000060772.1)". The record is from RNAcentral. Lineage: Eukaryota; Metazoa; Chordata; Mammalia; Artiodactyla; Suidae.